RNAcentral lists this ribosomal RNA (253 nucleotides) under uncultured bacterium. RNAcentral's name for it is "partial 16S ribosomal RNA". It matches the Rfam family "Bacterial small subunit ribosomal RNA", at positions 524 to 776 of the family's 1533-position model. The record is from RNAcentral.
UACGAAGGGAGCUAGCGUUGUUCGGAAUCACUGGGCGUAAAGCGCACGUAGGCGGAUUUGCCAGUCAGGGGUGAAAUCCCGGAGCUCAACUCCGGAACUGCCCUUGAAACUGCAGUGCUAGAAUUCUGGAGAGGCGAGUGGAAUUCCGAGUGUAGAGGUGAAAUUCGUAGAUAUUCGGAAGAACACCAGUGGCGAAGGCGGCUCACUGGCCCGGUACUGACGCUGAGGUGCGAAAGCGUGGGGAGCAAACAGG